This 539-nucleotide ribosomal RNA is filed under the name uncultured archaeon. RNAcentral's name for it is "bacterial SSU rRNA". It matches the Rfam family "Archaeal small subunit ribosomal RNA", at positions 457 to 997 of the family's 1478-position model. The record is from RNAcentral.
GGCAGCAGCCGCGGUAACACCGGCAGCUCUAGUGGUAGCUGUUUUAUUGGGCCUAAAGCGUUCGUAGCCGGUUUAAUAAGUCUCUGGUGAAAUCCUAUAGCUUAACUGUGGGAAUUGCUGGAGAUACUAUUAGGCUUGAGAUCGGGAGAGGUCAGAGGUACUCCUGGGGUAGGGGUGAAAUCCCGUAAUCCUAGGAGGACCACCUGUGGCGAAGGCGUCUGACUAGAACGAAUCUGACGGUGAGGAACGAAAGCUAGGGGCGCGAACCGGAUUAGAUACCCGGGUAGUCCUAGCCGUAAACUAUGCGGACUUGGUGUGAGGGUGGCUUUGAGCCGUCCUGGUGCCGAAGGGAAGCUGUUAAGUCCGCCGCCUGGGAAGUACGGUCGCAAGACUGAACUUAAAGGAAUUGGCGGGGGAGCACCACAACGCGUGGAGCCUGCGGUUUAAUUGGAUUCAACGCCGGAGAUCUCACCAGCGGCGACAGCAGUAUGAUGACCAGGUUGAUGACUUUGUUUGACAAGCUGAGAGGUGGUGCAUGG